This 679-nucleotide ribosomal RNA is filed under the name uncultured Planctomycetota bacterium. RNAcentral describes it as "bacterial SSU rRNA". It matches the Rfam family "Bacterial small subunit ribosomal RNA", at positions 97 to 806 of the family's 1533-position model. The record is from RNAcentral. Lineage: Bacteria; Pseudomonadati; Planctomycetota.
GGCUAACGGGGUAGUAAGGCAUCGGAACGUACCUUUUCGUCUGGGAUAGCCAUGGGAAACUGUGAGUAAUACCGGAUAAUAUCUUCGGAUCAAAGGUUUACUGCGAUUAGAGCGGCCGAUGUGAGACUAGGUAGUUGGUAGGGUAAUGGCCUACCAAGCCAGAGAUCUCUAGGGGGUGUGAGAGCAUGACCCCCACCACUGGAACUGAGACACUGUCCAGACACCUACGGGUGGCUGCAGUCGAGAAUCUUCGGCAAUGGGCGAAAGCCUGACCGAGCGACGCUGCGUGCGGGAUGAAGGCCCUUGGGUUGUAAACCGCUGUCAGAGGGGAUCAAAGGAAACUUGAGAGAGCCUCAGAGGAAGCGCGGGCUAAGUUCGUGCCAGCAGCCGCGGUAAUACGAACUGCGCAAACGUUAUUCGGAAUCACUGGGCUUACAGGGUGCGUAGGCGGUUCGCCAGGUCAGAUGUGAAAUCCCACAGCUCAACUGUGGAACUGCAUUUGAAACCUGCGAACUUGAGUAGACUAGAGGUACACGGAACUUCAGGUGGAGCGGUGAAAUGUGUUGAGAUCUGAAGGAACACCAGAGGCGAAAGCGGUGUACUGGAGUCUGUCUGACGCUGAGGCACGAAAGCUAGGGGAGCGAACGGGAUUAGAUACCCCGGUAGUCCUAGCCGUAAA